AUAACUUUUAAUAACAGAUCUCUUGGUUCUAGUAUUAAUAAAGAACGCAGCGAAAUGCGAUAAGUAGUGUAAAUUGUAGAAUUUAGUGAAUUAUUAAAUCUUUAAACGCACAUUGCGCCCCUUAGUAUUCUAUAGGGUAUACCUGUUUAAGCGUUAUUUGUACCCUUAAGCUCUGCUUAGUGUUAGGUGUUUAUUCUACUUAGGACUUGCCUUAAAACAAUUAGUAGCUAGUAUAUUAGCCUAGAGCGCAGCACAUUUUACGCCUCUUGUUAUAGUUGUUAGUAUCUAUUAAGACACUUUUUAAGCUCUUAACCUUAGAUUAGGUAGGGAUACCUACUAAACUUAAGCAUAUUAAUAAGCGGAGGAAAAGAAACUAAUAGGGAUUGCCCUAGUAACGGCAAGUGAAGCGGCAAUAGCUUAAAUUUAAAAUCUAGCUCUUUUAGGGUCUAAGUUGUAAUUUGCAGAGGGCGCUUUAGCGUUAGCAGCAGUCUAAGUUCCUUAGAACAGGACGUUACAGAGGGUAAGAAUCCUAUACGUGGUCGCUGGCCUUCGCUAUGUAAAGCCCCUUUAACAAGUUAAGUUGUUUAGGAAUGCAGCUCUAAAUAGGAGGUAAAUUUCUUCUAAAGCUAAAUACUAGCUAGAGACUAAUAGCGCACAAGUAGAGUAAUUAAAAGAUAAAAAGCACUUUAGAAAGAGAGUUAAAUAGCACGUGAAAUUGUUGAAAGGGAAGCGCUUGUAGCUAGACUUGCCUAUAGUUGCUUAUCUAGGCUUUUGUCUAGUGCACUCUUCUAUAGGUAGGCUAGCAUUAGUUUAGGUGGUUAGAUAAAGGUCUCUGUCACGUACCUCCCUUUAGGGAGGCCUUAUAGGGGAGACAACAUGCAACCAGCCUAGACUAAGGUCCGCGUAUCUGCUAGGAUGCUAGCGUAAUAGCUAUAAGCGGCCUAUCUUAAAAUAUAGACUAAGGAGUCUAACAUCUAUGUAAGUGUUUAGGUGUUAAGCCUAGACGCGUAAUAAAAGUGAAUAGAGGUAGGAACCCUUUUAGGGUGCACUAUUAACUAAUCCUAAUAUCUUUAGAAGGAUUUAAGUAAGAGCAUAGCUAUUAGGACCUAAAAGAUGGUAAACUAUGCUUAAAUAGGGUGAAGCUAGAGGAAACUCUAGUAGAGGCUCGCAGCAGUUCUAACGUGCAAAUUGAUUAUUAAAUUUAGGUAUAGGGGCGAAAGACUAAUUAAACUAUCUAGUAGCUAGUUCCUACUAAAGUUUCCCUUAGGAUAGUAGUAACGUAUUUAGUUUUAUAAGGUAAAGCGAAUAAUUAGAGGCCUAGGGGUUAAAAUAACCUUUACCUAUUCUUAAACUUUAAAUAUGUAAGAAGUCCUUGUUACUUAAUUAAACGUGGACACUUAAAUGUACUAUUACUAGUAGGCUAUUUUUAGUAAGCAGAACUAGUAAUGCGGGAUAAACUAAACGUAGGGUUAAGGUGCUAGAAUAUACGCUUAUUAGACACUACAAAAGGUGUUAGUUUAUCUAGACAGCAGGAUAGUAGCUAUAGAAGUUAGAAUCUACUAAGGAGUGUGUAAUAACUCACCUGCUAAAUAAACUAGCCCUAAAAAUAGAUGGCGCUUAAGCGUGUUACCUAUACCCCGCCGCCAGGGCAAGAUUUAAGCCCUAGCAAGUAGGCAGGCGUGGAGGCUUGUAACAAAGCCUUAGGGGUAACCCUAGGUAGAAUGGCCUCUAGUGCAGAUCUUGGUAGUAGUAGUAAAUACUUAAAUAAGAACUUUAAGGACUAAAGUAGGGAAAGGUUCUAUAUAAAUAGUAGUUAGACAUAGGUUAGUUAAUCCUAAGAGAUAGGGUAAUUCUAUUUUAAUGUUAGUGCUUACGCUGCGCCCUUAAAAGGGAAGCUAGUUAAUAUUCUAGCACCUAGAUGUAGAUUCUCCGCGGCAACGCAACUAAGAGCGGAGACCUUGGCAGGAGCCCUAAGAAGAGUUCUCUUUUCUUCUUAACAGUCUGUUACCCUAAAAUUGGUUUGUCUAGAGCUAGGGUUUAAUAGCUAGAAGAGCGCUGCACUUUUGCGGCGUUUAGUGCGCUCCUAACAAGCCUUAAAAAUCUGCUUAAAGAAAUAGUUUUUACGCUAGGUUAUACUUAUAACUAUAGUAGGUCUCUAAGGUAAAAAGCCUCUAGUUAAUAGAACAAUAUAGAUAAGGGAAGUUAGUAAAAUAGAUCUAUAACUUUAGGAAAAGGAUUAGCUCUAAGGGUUAGGUACGUUGGGCCUUAGAGAGAAGCCUCUAGCGUAGAAGGGCACUAACCGCAAGGUAGGCGCCUCUUAGCGCUAGGGUGCAGACACCCUUAGCAGGUUUUAGCCGUCUAGCGUAUAUUUAACAACUAACUUAGAACUAGUAUAGAUAAGGGGAAUCUAACUAUCUAAUUAAAAUAUAGCAUUGUAAUAGCUAGAAAGUAGUAUUAACGUAAUAUAAUUUCUGCCUAGUGCUCUAAAUGUUAAAGCGAAGAGAUUUAACUAAGCGCGGGUAAAUAGUAGGAGUAACUAUAACUCUCUUAAGGUAGCUAAAUGCCUUGUUAUCUAAUUAGUAACGCGCAUAAAUAGAUUAAUAAGAUUCCUACUAUCCCUAUCUACUAUCUAGUGAAACUAUAGCUAAGGGAACAGGCUUGGCUAAAUUAGCAGGGAAAGAAGACCCUAUUAAGCUUGACUCUAGUUUAACAUUAUAAAAAGAUAUAACAGGUGUAGAAUAGGUAGGAGCUUUAGCGCUAGUAAAAUACUACUACCCUUAUUGUUUUUUUACUUAUUUAAUAAAGUAGAGCUAGGCCUUACUACCUAACUUCUAGCGUUUAAGGUCCUUUAUAGGCUAAUCUAGGUUAAAGAUAUUGUUAGGUAGGGAGUUUAGCUAGGGCGGUAUAUCUAUUAAACUAUAACGCAGGUGUCCUAAGGGUGACUUAUAGAGAAUAGAAAUCUCUAGUAGAGUAAAAGGGUAAAAGUCCCCUUAAUUUUAAUUUUUAGUGUAAAUACAAACCAUAAAAGUAUAGCCUAUUAAUCCUUUAGUCCCUUAAAAUUUAAGGCUAGAGGUGCUAGAAAAGUUACCACAGGGAUAACUAGCUUGUGGCAGCCAAGCGUUUAUAGCGACGUUGCUUUUUAAUCCUUUAAUAUUAGCUCUUCCUAUUAUACUAAAGCAGAAUUUAGUAAGCGUUAGAUUGUUCACCUACUAAUAGGGAACGUAAGCUAGGUUUAGACCAUUGUAAGAUAGGUUAGUUUUACCCUACUAAUAACCUUGCCCUAAUAGUAAUACUACUUAGUACGAGAGGAACCGCGGUUUUAGAUAAUUAGUUUUUGCGGCUAUCUAACUAGGUAUUGCCGCGAAGCUACUAUCUGCUAGAUUAUAGCUAAACGCCUCUAAGUUAGAAUCUAUGCUAGAAUAGGGUGAUUUCCACCUACACUAGUUAGAUACAAAUAGGCCUUUGGCCCAGAACCUUACUAGAUUAGCGUUAGCAGCCCUAUUAAAGUUAGGGUUAUUAGCUAGUGUAUUGUAAUUGUACAGUGCGCAGGAUUAAAUCCUUUGCAGAUAACUUAGUUGUCUAGCUA
This 3586-nucleotide ribosomal RNA is filed under the name Plenodomus lingam (blackleg of rapeseed fungus). RNAcentral describes it as "eukaryotic LSU rRNA". It matches the Rfam family "Eukaryotic large subunit ribosomal RNA". The record is from RNAcentral. Lineage: Eukaryota; Fungi; Ascomycota; Dothideomycetes; Pleosporales; Leptosphaeriaceae.